Mustela lutreola (European mink) is the source of this 1287-nucleotide long non-coding RNA. RefSeq lists it as uncharacterized. Lineage: Eukaryota; Metazoa; Chordata; Mammalia; Carnivora; Mustelidae. The transcript is spliced from 3 exons. The record is from RefSeq and is a predicted model, not a curated record.
CCAAAGAGCUUCUUCCCAGCAUGGGUUUUUGGGCCCCCUCCCCAAAAGACCAAAAGAGGUGCCUGCCACGUGAGUGUCUCAGACUGUUGGGCGGACAUGGCUCAGAAGGUUCACUGUCUUUAGGGAAAAGGACUAGAGAGGGACCUUUUGUUGCUGUAAGUAAGGAUGGUCCUCGGUUCCAAGAAGAAAAUUAAAGGCUGCUCCUGAGAUGAGCACAGUCAUUUGGAUGAAAGAAAACACAUGGUUGUGUUGAGAGAUCAGAUCUCGACAAGACGGGGCACUACCUCCUGCCCAGAGAGGAUCGGGCCCCAGGACGCGAAACUGGAAUUCACGUGAGAAUCCUUCGCCCCUGUUCUAGCACCUCUAGCUGGCGAUCUCCACGCUCAUCACAGGAGCUAAUUAGUUCUUGUCGCCACUGCCGCACGCGCGCAGGGUACGUGCCCAUUUUCCUGAUGGAAAAACUGACAAGGAGCACACGGGCAGGAAAGACGUUCUUGGAGGGAAAAGAUACUCCAUCUGCUUCGCCGUGGUCGCCUCGGGAGACCUGUCCGUGUUCCUUUUGCCCCGGGGGCUCUGUUUGCUGCUGAGCCCAGAGGCUCUACCCUCCAGGGUGUGGUUCUGCCAUCCGUCCCCAACUUUGGAAUAAACGUGGCAAAGUACUAGGCUGGAAGGGAACUGCUCACCAGAGCACCGCCUUUGGAAAAUAAUGCACUCGUCUGGGGCCUGCCCUCUGGAGCCAGCAUCCACGGUUUGAACCCCGGGUCUUGCACUUACCAGCUGUGUGACCUUGAACAGAGUCUUAAAAAAUUGAAAGAAGUCUGUUCAAAGCAACAACAGAGAGGAUGAACCGAAGAGAGAGCCGAGAUGUUACAGAACCAGAAGGACAUCCCAGCGACCGUGCUGCUGCUGCCCACCAGGAAGACGGGGUUUGACACAACAUGCCUAAUGACAAGUUUUUGGUAAAUAAAACAAUUCCGUGUUUACCUACCCCAGUGAGUCGAGAUCCCCUGAUAAACCGCCUCCCCACAGCCUUCUUUGUUCCUUCCUGCAAGCCUGCAGGGCAGGCACCGUCAGCAUUCUCGUCUUACAGACAAGGAAACCGGGGUUCAGAGAGGUUCAGCGAGUUCCCAGGGUCACCCAGCUCCAAGGCGGGUGUUUGAAACUCGUCCUUAUUGGUUUUAGAACCUGGGCUUUCAAUGCCUUUGGUGCUGCGGGGGACACUGAGCUGAAGUCAACGCGGGAGGGAGAGAGUAGAACCUUCUACCAGAAUGGGACGGAGCCCGGUGG